This 492-nucleotide ribosomal RNA is filed under the name uncultured bacterium. RNAcentral describes it as "bacterial SSU rRNA". It matches the Rfam family "Bacterial small subunit ribosomal RNA", at positions 28 to 510 of the family's 1533-position model. The record is from RNAcentral.
GAUGAACGCUAGCGGCAGGCUUAAUACAUGCAAGUCGAGGGGCAGCAGCUCUGUAGCAAUACAGAGGCUGGCGACCGGCAAACGGGUGCGGAACACGUACGCAACUUACCCAUAACUGGUGAAUAGCCCUCCGAAAGGAGGAUUAAUACAUCGUAACAUAAUGAGAUGGCAUCAUUUUAUUAUUAUAGCUCUCGGGCGGUUGUGGAUGGGCGUGCGGCUGAUUAGGUAGUUGGCGGAGUAAUAGCCCACCAAGCCAACGAUCAGUAACUGGUGUGAGAGCACGACCAGUCACACGGGCACUGAGACACGGGCCCGACUCCUACGGGAGGCAGCAGUAAGGAAUAUUGGUCAAUGGACGCAAGUCUGAACCAGCCAUGCCGCGUGAAGGAUGAAGGUCCUCUGGAUUGUAAACUUCUUUUAUAUGGGACGAAACCCUGUUUUCUAACGGGACUGACGGUACCAUACGAAUAAGCACCGGCUAACUCCGUGCCA